UUUAUGACCGGUCGACUUUCAAUGUAUUCAAAUCCUCUUCGGUUUUAUAAUUUUAUUUAUAUUAUUGAAAUUUGAUGACCAAAUUAAGUUUAAAACAUAAAAUGAUACACAGGAAUUUGAAUGGGAUCUAGCAAUCGCCCAUGCAUACACACACUUUACCUACGGGGUAUUUAGAUGCAGUAUUACACUCACCAUCUUUGUAUAGGAAUUUCUGGCAUUGGACUUUACAAUCGCUAUCUUUGGUGCAAGAAUUAUUAGUGAAAUCCUUGGGACAUAACUUCUUUUCUACAAUUUCCAUCUUUUUUACAGCCCCUGUCAAAUCUUCUUCGAUCAUUCUUUCUGUACUACCUAAUUCAUCCUCAUUGGAAUCAUAAAAAUAUUAGAUCCAGGAAAUUCGAGAACUAAAGAUUAAAAUAAGACAAGAAUCUAGGAUUACCUAAUGGAAACCAGAGGAACAACACAGCAACGGUAAAAAGGCAAAUGAACAUAAAUCCCUCAAUUCCUCCAACUUUGGCCAUCUCUUGUUUACAAUUCUAUUCAAAUGGAAGAACUGGAAGAAAGAAAGAAUGAUUUUUUGAGUUCCUGAAAAUCCAAUCACAUUGAAAUAUAUAGGAAUGAAAUAUAUUGGAAAAUAAUUAAUUUUGAUUUUUUUAG
RNAcentral lists this long non-coding RNA (654 nucleotides) under Zostera marina. RNAcentral's name for it is "long non-coding RNA (ZMAR_LNC004812)". Lineage: Eukaryota; Viridiplantae; Streptophyta; Magnoliopsida; Alismatales; Zosteraceae. The record is from RNAcentral.